AUUGAACGCUGGCGGCAGGCCUAACACAUGCAAGUCGAGCGGAUGAAGGGAGCUUGCUCCUGGAUUCAGCGGCGGACGGGUGAGUAAUGCCUAGGAAUCUGCCUGGUAGUGGGGGAUAACGUCCGGAAACGGGCGCUAAUACCGCAUACGUCCUGAGGGAGAAAGUGGGGGAUCUUCGGACCUCACGCUAUCAGAUGAGCCUAGGUCGGAUUAGCUAGUUGGUGGGGUAAAGGCCUACCAAGGCGACGAUCCGUAACUGGUCUGAGAGGAUGAUCAGUCACACUGGAACUGAGACACGGUCCAGACUCCUACGGGAGGCAGCAGUGGGGAAUAUUGGACAAUGGGCGAAAGCCUGAUCCAGCCAUGCCACGUGUGUGAAGAAGGUCUUCGGAUUGUAAAGCACCUUAAGUUGGGAGGAAGGGCAGUAAGUUAAUACCUUGCUGUUUUGACGUUACCAACAGAAUAAGCACCGGCUAACUUCGUG
RNAcentral lists this ribosomal RNA (484 nucleotides) under uncultured bacterium. RNAcentral describes it as "partial 16S ribosomal RNA". It matches the Rfam family "Bacterial small subunit ribosomal RNA", at positions 30 to 507 of the family's 1533-position model. The record is from RNAcentral.